Halichondria panicea is the source of this 435-nucleotide long non-coding RNA. RefSeq lists it as uncharacterized. The record is from RefSeq and is a predicted model, not a curated record. The transcript is spliced from 2 exons. NCBI's taxonomy places the organism in Eukaryota, Metazoa, Porifera, Demospongiae, Suberitida, Halichondriidae.
UUCCCAAAAGUUGUUGUAGUAGGAAAUCAUUUUAGGUGAAAAUGACAGUGAUCGUAUUUCUGGACAAAUUUUUCAUAUCAUGUGUGAAAAAAUUAGACCUUAGCCGACAAAUUUGUUUGAGUUCCAUCGCUAAACAAAAAGGAAUGUUGUGCCAUGCAGAGUUCCCUUACCUUAGCCAACAACGAGUCUUUUCCAUCGCUAAGUGAUUUCCACAAACGUUGUUUUAUAAACCACCACAUGCAACCACGAAAAUAUUAUCCAUAAAAUGAUUAAUACUGCUCAACCACGAAUGUUUUGCCCCCCCCCCCCCCCCCAAAAUAGUAACCGAAUGCUACAUUCAAGUGUACAAUCCACCCACCUACAUGUACCAGAAAACUCAAAAUAUUCAUAGCGCAGUACACACACACACACACUGCAUGUCUUUUACCUUCAGUA